CUUCUUUCCUCUAGUCGGGUAGUGAUGUAGUAACUUUCUUCCUGUUGGAGAGGCAAAGGCACCUCUUUUCAUGUUGGGUCUGCAGUUUUGGCAAGUGGUAGGGCUGAGAGGUCUCCUUGUGGCCCCUGGAAUCCAUUUUAAAUUAGCUCCCCAGGCUCUGGGUUCUAAAGGAGGGAGCGACGUUUGAUGGUGGAAAUGAGGAAGGGACAGAGAAGGUUAAUUAGACACUUUCAAGGAAUUUCCUACAAGUUUCUACUAUCUUCCAGGAAGGUGCCUAGUGCUAUUUAUGAAGCAUGCUGGGAAACAAAUAGAAAUAAUGUAAGAAGAAGCAAUGGUUAAUGUAGAGACACAUGGAAAGAGGAGAAAUAGAGAUGCAGCUGGACUGAAAAAGGAAUGUGAAAAAUCUAAGCCCAAACAGGAGUGUAACAGACCCACUGAUACCUUUUUCUGGAGCCCAUGAAUCUGUAGUGGAUGAAUAUUCUGAAAACUAAUGAUGGAGUGGAUUUGAGGUUGGUUUCAAGAGCUGUGCAGAUACUGCAAGAUAGUUGAACAAUGAUCAGGAAAGGGCAAUCCUAUUCUCAAUGGUAGUUAACAAUAAGGUUGAAUUUUCUCCAUAUAUUCUC
This 623-nucleotide long non-coding RNA is filed under the name Capra hircus (goat). RNAcentral describes it as "lncRNA (ENSCHIG00000002532.1)". The record is from RNAcentral. Lineage: Eukaryota; Metazoa; Chordata; Mammalia; Artiodactyla; Bovidae.